AUAGUCGAGCGAGGUAAGUGCAACGGGAACCCUAGUGCUCACUCUGCGGAAAAAAUAGACAACAAAACAGCUCAGAAACUAAAGGGACUAUACCUCAGGGUAUCCGAACUUGAGACGCAAUUAGACCGUGAAAGAAGCGAACAUUUGUCGUCCAUCGCGCAAGCUCGAGAACAAGGGAGAGCUUUAUCACAAGAGAUUUGUGAGCUCAAAAAGGUUUAUUAACUUUCUCAUCUUUUACUUACAACUAUUAAAAGAAAAAGAGCGAUCAUGCUUUAUUUAUAAUUUUUUGAGAAGCUCGGUGACUAUCGAUCUAUGUUAAUCUAAAUAUGCAUUAAUGUGCAUGUUACAACGUAAAGCAUUUCAUUUUAACUAUCAACAAGUUCAACUUUAUGACGCAUUAGUGUUUAUCGAAGCAAAGUAUGCAAAUGUGUUUUACACGUCAUCCAGAUUUCACAAAUCACAUUGUUUUUGCUUUGUAUGUUUGGUCGAAUAAAAUUGAAGGAUUAAACAUUUGAA
Long non-coding RNA from Stylophora pistillata, 516 nucleotides. The record is from RefSeq and is a predicted model, not a curated record. NCBI's taxonomy places the organism in Eukaryota, Metazoa, Cnidaria, Anthozoa, Scleractinia, Pocilloporidae.